GAAUCUUUAGUUUAAUUUUGAAUGAUUUAUUUACAAUAAAUAGGUAUAGAGGUUUU
This 56-nucleotide transfer RNA is filed under the name Gnathostoma doloresi. RNAcentral's name for it is "tRNA-Val". Lineage: Eukaryota; Metazoa; Nematoda; Chromadorea; Rhabditida; Gnathostomatidae. The record is from RNAcentral.